UACAGAGGGUGCGAGCGUUGUCCGGAAUCACUGGGCGUAAAGGGCGCGUAGGCGGCCUGAUAAGUAGGGGGUGAAAUCUUGCGGCUCAACCGCAAGGCUGCCUUCUAAACUGUCAGGCUCGAGCACAGUAGAGGCAGGUGGAAUUCCCGGUGUAGCGGUGGAAUGCGUAGAGAUCGGGAAGAACAUCAGUGGCGAAGGCGGCCUGCUGGGCUGUUGCUGACGCUGAGGCGCGACAGCGUGGGGAGCAAACAGG
This 253-nucleotide ribosomal RNA is filed under the name uncultured bacterium. Its description in RNAcentral is "partial 16S ribosomal RNA". It matches the Rfam family "Bacterial small subunit ribosomal RNA", at positions 524 to 776 of the family's 1533-position model. The record is from RNAcentral.